RNAcentral lists this transfer RNA (69 nucleotides) under Tamias striatus (eastern chipmunk). Its description in RNAcentral is "tRNA-Asp". It matches the Rfam family "tRNA". From Rfam's summary of the family: Transfer RNA (tRNA) molecules are approximately 80 nucleotides in length. Their secondary structure includes four short double-helical elements and three loops (D, anti-codon, and T loops). The record is from RNAcentral. Lineage: Eukaryota; Metazoa; Chordata; Mammalia; Rodentia; Sciuridae.
AAGAUAUUAGUAAAAACAUUACAUAACUUUGUCAAAGUUAAUUUAUAGGUUUAAAUCCUUUAUAUCUUU